This 379-nucleotide ribosomal RNA is filed under the name uncultured bacterium. RNAcentral describes it as "bacterial SSU rRNA". It matches the Rfam family "Bacterial small subunit ribosomal RNA", at positions 335 to 704 of the family's 1533-position model. The record is from RNAcentral.
ACUCCUACGGGAGGCAGCAGUGGGGAAUAUUGCACAAUGGGGGAAACCCUGAUGCAGCCAUGCCGCGUGUGUGAAGAAGGCCUUCGGUUGUAAAGCACUUUCAGUGGGGAGGGAAGGUAGUGUAGUUAACACCUGCAUUAUUUGUACGUUACCUACAGAAGAAGCACCGGCUAACUCCGUGCCAGCAGCCGCGGUAAUACGGAGGGUGCGAGCGUUAAUCGGAAUUACUGGGCGUAAAGCGCAUGCAGGCGGCCUGUUAAGUCAGAUGUGAAAGCCCGGGGUCUUAACCUCGGAAUUGCAUUUGAAACUGGCAGGCUAGAGUCUUGUAGAGGGGUUAGAAUUUCGAGGUGUAGCGGUGAAAUGCGUAGAGAUCUGAAGG